CCGAGGAGUGACUAGCUACUGAAUCAUAGAAUUUCUUUAAAUUCAUGAUGUCGUAAGGGAAAAUAAUGAUAUUACCUUACUAUGAGUGUCGUCCAAAGCUGGUGCCAGAAGACUCGGUAAGACCAGAGACGCAAACGUUAAUCAUCUUAAACAGGCGUAAAGGGUUUGUAGGCAGCUUUCAUAAUAUUAUUUCUUACAAAAAUAAAGAAGUGGUCUGAUUGAAAGCUAGAAUCAAAAAGAGGUUAUAGUGUAUAACGCCUAGAGGAGGGCUGAUAUCCUUAGAUCCUAGGCAGAAUACUUAGGGCGAAGGCCACUCUCCACUAAUGAUUGACGCUGAGAAACGAAGGUAAGGGUAGGAAAUAGGAUUAGAUACCCCGGUACUCCUUUCUGUAAACGAUGAAUGGUAGUCAUUAGUAAAAUUAACUAGAGACGAAGUUAACACAAUAACCAUUCCGCCUUGUGAGUACUACUGCAAAGUAGAAAACAAAAAAAUUAGUCGGUCUCGAAGCAAACGGAGUGAAGCAUGUUAUUUAAUG
RNAcentral lists this ribosomal RNA (536 nucleotides) under Sanguinoderma leucomarginatum. Its description in RNAcentral is "Sanguinoderma sp. YFS-2022a partial large subunit ribosomal RNA". It matches the Rfam family "Bacterial small subunit ribosomal RNA", at positions 397 to 951 of the family's 1533-position model. The record is from RNAcentral. Lineage: Eukaryota; Fungi; Basidiomycota; Agaricomycetes; Polyporales; Polyporaceae.